AUGCGAUAAGUAAUGUGAAUUGCAGAAUUCAGUGAAUCAUCGAAUCUUUGAACGCACAUUGCGCCCGGCAGCAAUCUGCCGGGCAUGCCUGUCCGAGCGUCAUUUCUGCCCUCGAGCGCGGUUCGGCCCCUAGCGGGCCGGCCGCCGCCCGGUGUUGGGGCGCUGCGGGCCCUCGUGCCCGCAGGCCCUGAAAUGAAGUGGCGGUCCCGCCGCGGCGCCCCCUGCGUAGUAGUAAAGCACCUCGCAUCGGGUCCCGGCGGAGGCCAGCCGUCGAACCUCUCUUUUGAUGGUUUGACCUCGGAUCAGGUAGGGUUACCCGCUGAACUUAA
RNAcentral lists this unclassified non-coding RNA (329 nucleotides) under uncultured Microascus. Its description in RNAcentral is "partial contains 5.8S ribosomal RNA, internal transcribed spacer 2, and large subunit ribosomal RNA". The stretch from base 1 to 102 matches the Rfam family "5.8S ribosomal RNA", at positions 53 to 154 of the family's 154-position model. Lineage: Eukaryota; Fungi; Ascomycota; Sordariomycetes; Microascales; Microascaceae. The record is from RNAcentral.